Molecule: ribosomal RNA, 402 nt
Filed under: uncultured bacterium
Lineage: Bacteria
Description: bacterial SSU rRNA
Rfam family: Bacterial small subunit ribosomal RNA
Source: RNAcentral
UGGGGAAUAUUGGACAAUGGGGGCAACCCUGAUCCAGCAAUGCCGCGUGAGUGAUGAAGGCCUUAGGGUUGUAAAGCUCUUUUGCCUGGUCAGAUGAUGACUGUACCUGGAGAAUAAGCCCCGGCUAACUUCGUGCCAGCAGCCGCGGUAAUACUAAGGGGGCUAGCGUUGUUCGGAAUUACUGGGCGUAAAGGGCGCGUAGGCGGCCGUUUAAGUUAGGUGUGAAAUUCCUGGGCUCAACCUGGGUACUGCACUUGAUACUGGAUGGAUUGAAUUCGGGAGAGGAUAGCGGAAUUCACAGUGUAGAGGUGAAAGACGUAGAUAUUGGGAAGAACACCGGGGGAGAAGGAGGAUAUAUGGACAGACAUUGACGCUGAGGCGAGAAAGAGUGGGGAGCAAACA